GCAGCACGGAGCCUCCUUGGGAUUCUCUCUCUCCCUCUCUCUCUGCUUCACCUCCACUCGCACUGCCUCUGUUUCUCUCAAAAUAAACUUUAAAAAAAAUAAAAAAUAUAAAAAAUGAAUUUAAACUGAACCAUCAUCAGAUUUAAUUUCCUAAUACUCUGCUUUCACCAUAUACAAAAUCUUUCCAUAUCUAUACCUUACCCAAAAUUCUUAGUGUUUUAAGAUUGUUUUUAAGUUUAUUUAUACAUUCAGAGAGAGGGAGCGAGAGAAAGAGCACGUAUGCAUAGGGAGAGGGGCAGAGAGAGAGGAGAGAGAGAAUCCCAAGCAGGCUCUGCCCUGUGUUGUUAGUGUGGAGCCCAAUGCAGAGCUCGAACCCAUGAACCGUGAGAUGGUGACCUGAGCUGAAACCAAAAGUCAGACGCUUCACCGGCUGAGCCACCCAGGUAUCCCUGCAUUAAGAUUUAAGAUGUACUGUAGUUUGUCCCAAACUCAAGUCCUCUAGCCCUCACCCCCAGAAUGUCCCUUCCCUGGUAUUUCUCUGCACAAAGAGAGUAUCCACUCGCUGUACCGUGAAUAUGUCUCUGUAUGGUACCCUGAACAGAUUUGUACUGUUUGAAUUCUUCAUCGGUGAGCAUAAAAUGAAACUGUCUAAAAUAUCAGUAACAAGACAUUGAACUUGUAGACUGGCCCCAAGAAAUGAUUAAUCAAUAAGGAAAGUGUUUGAUGUAAAUAGCUUAUACACAAGAGCAGACAGCUGGGGAGUAGAGGCAAUCAUAUGAGAUUGGAAAAAGCUAGUCUUAAAGAAAACACACUAGAAAAACUUGGAGUUUGUAAAGCUGUGACACCUGUGCUAGAGCUGCAAUCUCUUUGCUAUGCCUGGAGCAUUUGAAAGGGCUGCAAGGCACACUUGGUUCUUGGCAAAGUAUGCCAAUGAUACCCAGCAUCCUGCUCUGGGCCUCCAGUCACCCAUUUGUCCACAUCAAGUUCCCUCAGGUGGUGAGGGAAACACUCCCUCUAACAAUCUUCCUCUUCCCCUGCAGCCCCCUAAGCGUUUAUUUCCUGCCGUCCUAUGAAUGGAUCCAGGAAAGAGAGGCCAGGAACAGACAGAAGAAAGGGAGCAGCUCUGCUCUGGUGCCCAAGCCACUGUGCACAGACACCGCAGGCAAAGACUUGAAGGACAGCUAAUCUGAGUUCUGGUGGAACACCUCGUGAACCUCCUGGGACACCAGCGGAGACGAGGUCCAUAGGCGCUGGUAAGAGACCAUCUCCUACUCACCUGCUUAUCUUCUCUGGGAACCUGUCAUGAAGAGUUUCCCAUUGCCUCUCAGGUACCAAUGAGGUGUGGAACUCUCUGCCCCAUUCCCCUCAGAACAGACCUGCUGAAUAUAAAACCUGUUAGUGGCAGUCUAGAAUCGGAUCCUCAACGAUACCCCACAAUUCAUAUCCCAGUCAUCUGCUUCUUGUUUUGGUGUCUUCUUUCAGCAUGUUGGACAAGAACCACAGAAAGUGGUGCUUUUGCUACCACUUGUUUCGCUGUUUUUAUGGAUAAUAAAUGGUCUGAACCUAAAA
Long non-coding RNA from Felis catus (domestic cat), 1569 nucleotides. RefSeq lists it as uncharacterized. The transcript has 2 exons. The record is from RefSeq and is a predicted model, not a curated record. Lineage: Eukaryota; Metazoa; Chordata; Mammalia; Carnivora; Felidae.